Molecule: transfer RNA, 71 nt
Filed under: Marmota monax (woodchuck)
Lineage: Eukaryota; Metazoa; Chordata; Mammalia; Rodentia; Sciuridae
Description: tRNA.Ala
Rfam family: tRNA
About the family: Transfer RNA (tRNA) molecules are approximately 80 nucleotides in length. Their secondary structure includes four short double-helical elements and three loops (D, anti-codon, and T loops). Further hydrogen bonds mediate the characteristic L-shaped molecular structure. tRNAs have two regions of fundamental functional importance: the anti-codon, which is responsible for specific mRNA codon recognition, and the 3' end, to which the tRNAs corresponding amino acid is attached (by aminoacyl-tRNA synthetases). tRNAs cope with the degeneracy of the genetic code in two manners: having more than one tRNA (with a specific anti-codon) for a particular amino acid; and 'wobble' base-pairing, i.e. permitting non-standard base-pairing at the 3rd anti-codon position.
Source: RNAcentral
GGGGUUGUGGCUCAGUGGUAGAGUGCUUGCCUUGCAUGUGUGAGGCACUGAGUUCAAACCUCAGCACCACA